RNAcentral lists this long non-coding RNA (949 nucleotides) under Musa acuminata (dwarf banana). RNAcentral describes it as "long non-coding RNA (MACU_LNC001775)". Lineage: Eukaryota; Viridiplantae; Streptophyta; Magnoliopsida; Zingiberales; Musaceae. The record is from RNAcentral.
CAGCAGAGAUACAAGUGAAAGGAUAAGACCAAAGAGAGGAGAGAUGAGGCCUGCAAGCUUGUCAAGUUCAGGUGUAUCAAAUGUGUGGCACACUCCAAUUCCUUAUCUCUUUGGAGGUUUUGGGGUAGUAAUGAUACUUAUAGCUGCUGCUCUCAUCAUCCUAGCUUGCUCUCACUGGAGAUCAACCAGAGGUGGGAGCUCAGAAUCACUGAGUCUGUCGGAGAAACCUGUGAUUGUUCACUUGGACAUGGAGCCAAGAGUUGUGGUAAUAAUGGCUGGAGACAACAAGCCUAGUUUUAUAGCAAAGCCUUUCUCCUUGGUUCAGGUUGCGCAUGAGCCAUCAGUCCAGACAAGAUCUAUCAACACAGAGCCAUGAUGGUUGACUGGUUAUGUUGCUGUAUCCAAUUUUUCUUCCUUCCUUUUCUUCCCUGUUAUGCUUCUGUAUCUUUCAUCAAUUUUGUCGUGGCAGUUCCUUACUGUAAACUUUGAGUGAAGCAUACAAAAAGGAGGACCUUUUAUCUACAAUCUGCAUGAGUAUUCAUAGAAUCUACAAUCUACAAUCUGCAUGAGUUUUGGAGUGCUUUCCCUUGCAUAUGAGCUAAACUUUUCUUCUACAGAAGAAUUCAGAAUCUAUUUGACUUGCAGAUUAAAGAUAAUUUGUUGCACCAUAGAAUAUUAUUCUUUUCAUGAUGAAACAAAUUUUCGUAUGAGCUAAACUUUUCUUCUACAGAAAUAUUCAUGAUCAGUUCGACUUGCCGAUAAAAGAUAAUUUGUUGUGCCAUCAAAGAUCAUAUUUUUCAUAAUGAAACAAAUUUUCGCAUGAUUUCUAUCAUUCGUAGGAGCAAGAUUCAUUAACUAAGCUUUUAACUUAACUAUCUGACCGGAGGAUUGAAGUGGCAAACAUAAAGAGAAGUUAGAAGAAAAAACACAAAAAAAAAGCUUAUUUCAG